This 114-nucleotide small RNA is filed under the name Marmota monax (woodchuck). The record is from RNAcentral. Lineage: Eukaryota; Metazoa; Chordata; Mammalia; Rodentia; Sciuridae.
GCCAGGCAUGGUGGUGCAUGCCUGUAAUCCCAGCAACUCUGAAGGCUGAGACAGGAGUUCAAAGCCAGCCUCAGCAACUUAGCAAGGUCCUAAGCAACUGAGACCCUGUCUCAA